Molecule: RNA transcript, 3302 nt
Organism: Leptopilina boulardi
Lineage: Eukaryota; Metazoa; Arthropoda; Insecta; Hymenoptera; Figitidae
Gene name: palmitoyltransferase ZDHHC3
Exons: 7
Source: RefSeq, a predicted model, not a curated record
AUGCGUAAAGGGGCGUGAGAGCCAAUCCCGUUUUUUUUAUUGAAUUUCUAUUAAAUGUUGACAUGUGAAAGAAAAUUUUGAUAAAACUCGUGAUAAUUAAAUUAAUAAUUAGUAAAUUUAGUGAAAUAUUUAUUCUCAGGAAAUAUGUGUUGUGAGUUGAAAAUAAUCCUUUGCCUAAUGGAGAUAAUUCUGACAGUUUGACAGAUUUGACAGUUCUUCAAUUUUGAGAUUAAGUGAUGACAAUGAAAUUAGUAUCAAUAAUUACAUUUAAAUUAUAAUUUAUUAAAUAAACUAGAUGUGCGUAAACGUUAAAGGACCAUGGAUUACGAAUAUAUGCCCUUCAGGGAAAAGGAUAUCCAUAAUCGAUGCUGUGGUGGAAAAUUUUGGUGUAUUAAGGAUAUAUGUGGAAUUAUUUGCGCUGUACUUACAUGGCUGUUAAUAAUUUACGCAGAAUUUGUAGUUAUGGCAGUUAUUCUUAUUCCUACGAUAAAUACAUUUUACUCAAGUAUCAAUAUGGCAAUUUUUCAAGGCUUAGCAUUUUUAGCAUUUACUGCUCAUCUUAGAACAAUGUUUACAGAUCCGGGAGCAGUGCCAAAAGGAAAUGCAACCAAGGAGAUGAUUCAGCAAAUGGGCUUCAGGGAAGGACAAGUAAUAUUUAAAUGUCCAAAAUGUUGUUCCAUUAAACCCGACAGAGCACAUCAUUGUUCUGUUUGCCAAAGAUGUAUUAAAAAAAUGGAUCAUCAUUGUCCAUGGGUCAACAAUUGCGUAGGAGAAAACAACCAAAAAUAUUUUGUACUUUUUACGUUUUAUAUUGCGGGAAUCUCAUUGCAAUCGUUGCUUCUCUGUAUUCAUCAAUUUACAACAUGCGUGAGACAAGAAUGGAGAGAUUGCACGACAUUCAGUCCUCCAGCAACAGUGGUGUUACUUUUAUUUUUGUCAAUUGAAGCUCUACUGUUUGCCAUUUUUACUGCUGUAAUGUUGGGAACUCAAUUGCAAGCUAUUUGGAAUGACGAGACGGGCAUAGAACAAUUAAAAAAAGAAGAAGCACGAUGGGUACGAAAUAGUCGAUGGAAAUCGAUACAAGCAGUUUUUGGAAGAUUUUCAAUAGCAUGGUUCUCACCGUUUACAUCGCCGCCAAAUAAAUCGAAAACGGAUGCUUAUUUGUAUUCCGUUUAAAUAUAUAUAUAUAUAUUUAACGAAAAUUCAUGGAAACGAAUAUUUCAAAUUCGCAUAAUAUCGAAAUAAUGUGAGAUUUUUUUAUGAAUGAGUGCAAUAGAUUUUCUUUUUCUUUAUAUAAAAUGGCAAAGACUGUUUUUUUUUAAAGUUUCGAUAGUUUUGUCUUCUUGAAUGCGGUGAUUUUUUUUUAUUGUUUCUAUCAAAUGGGACAAAAACAACAACAAAAAAGUACAAAAUAAUUCGUAAUUUGUUUUACGACUCCAAAAAUUUUUGGGGGAAUUUUACAGUUUAUGAUUCAAUAUAGUUGAUGAUAUUCAAAGGCUCUCAAUUUCCUUUUGGUUCGGAAUUUUUAAAUUCGAAUUUUUUACAUAAUUCUAAACUAAUAUUUGAAAAUCUAAACGGAAUUUUUUAAAUGUUAUUUAAAAAUUACAUUGAUAUAAUAUUUAAUAAAAAAGGAAAAAUUUCGUUGGUGGAAAAAAAAAUUCUUUUUUAAAUUAUAAUAAAUAUAUAUGAUAGUCAGUACUUAACUUUGUGAAAUCGUAGAAUUUUUAUACAAAGAAUUAUGAUAAUUUACAUAGUGCAGUAAAAGAAAGUGAUAAAGGUACUGUAGCUUAAAUAGUAGUAAGAAACUUUUCAGGAAUAAAAAAUACAAAUUCAAUAAAAUAUAAUUCUAAAAUAUUUUUUAAUUAAAAAAAAAAAAAUGAUUAAAUACUUAAAAAAUAUUUUGGAGAAUUUCAUCAACAUUUUCAAAUCAAGUUAAUAAUACUAAAUUAAAAAAUAUAAAAGUUAUAUGACGAAUAAUUAUCUCCCAGUGUAUUUGACGUAUAUUUUAUUAAAUGUAAUUUAUAAUAUAAAUAUUUGAACUAGUGCCGAUUUUUAUGAAUGUGACGACGAAUGUUUCUAUUUCUGAUAAACAUGAUCAAAGAAAAACUGUAAUUACGCUAAAUUAAUUACAAUCAUUAUUGUUUAAUUAGUACUUUUAUUAAUUAUGAUAUUAAUUAAUUUUAAUUAUUAUUAUAAAUUACACAAUUUAUAUUAUAUUUAAAUUAAUUAUAAUUUCUUAAUUAAUUAAAGGUACAUCAAUUGAUGACAAUAAUAAUUAAUUAAUUGCGAAAAAAUGAAAAAAAAAAAUUGUGUUUUUUGUAUGAAUCUAUAUAUAUAAUAGAGAGUCUCACUUUUAUAAAAAAAAAAAAAUUGUCAAGUUUAAUUAGUGCAGAAAAAAAAUUAUAAUUUUCUAUAUAUAAAAAAAGUUGUGAUAUUUUCUCAGUGAAAUGGAGAAAAAUUUAAAUUCUCACAUUUGUUUUAAGAAAAUUUAGAAUACGAAUUUUUCUAAUUAUGAAAAUUUUUUAAAAUAUACUCGCGAGUUUCUUUUCUUUUUUCUACUCAUGUUAAUUAACACAACGAGUUUGUAAUGCAUUUAAAAAUGGAUUAUUUUUCAUUUAUUGAAUCGAUGUUUAUUGCUCGUGUAAAUACGAAUAAAUUCAACAACGACAUAUUUCAUGAAAUUUAUAUUAUUUUUAUUAAGAUUAAUUUGUAAUAUGAUUUCUGAGUCUUAGCUAAUUUUGCGUUUUGUGGUAAAUUAAUUUUGUAGUUCUAAUUUUAAUUUAAUUGAUAGUUUAAAAGAAAGCGAAAACUGUUGAGAAAUUCAAGAAUACUUUUAAUUUAUUAAAACUAUUUUUAAGUUAAUUAUGAUUUUAGAUUUGAAUUUAUUAUCGUAAUUUAUAAAUCAAUUAUAAUAUUAACGAAUAUAAAUUCACGUAUAGCAAUGCAGAAUAACGGAACAAAGUUCAUUAACAUAUUUCUUGGAGUUUUGCAAAUAAGAAAAGAAAAGGAAAAAUUGAAAAAGGGAUUGGAUAUGCAAUGAUCCUUGGAAUUGAAAAGUGAAUAUUGGAGAAUUAAAACUUGCCCGUAGAUAUAUAUUUUUUUUUUUUGAUCCAGGAAAAAAAAGAAUUAUUAAAGAGCUUUUGAUUGUGAGAGCAAUACUUUCAUACUUGAAGUCUAAGCAAGACAUAUAUGAAUCUUGAAGAACGACUUAGGCAAUGCCUUGUAUAAAGGCAAAACGGCUCAGUAAUUUAUUGCGAUUGGGCACACGAACGGCUUUCACUUUUACUUUGCUUCGCUCUUGG